AAAAUGUGCCUAUAAUCCCUGUCUUUUCUAAAAUUUGGAAUUUAACAUCUUUACUUCUCAGAUUUUAAAAUUCAAAUUUAACAAUUGUUAAUUUUUUUUUUUUAACUACUCACUUGGUAGCCAUGUGAAACUGAAUUUUGAAAUCUGAACCUAAAAAUACAAGCACAAGGACUAAAUUUCUAAUUUUUGAAAAGUACAGGGACUAUAGGCAUGUUU
RNAcentral lists this microRNA precursor (216 nucleotides) under Gossypium raimondii (Peruvian cotton). RNAcentral describes it as "miR8658 stem-loop (gra-MIR8658)". The record is from miRBase by way of RNAcentral. Lineage: Eukaryota; Viridiplantae; Streptophyta; Magnoliopsida; Malvales; Malvaceae.